CCGGAUGCAUCCCCAGCAUGCAAGAGCGCGCGUUUCCGGUGCCACCGCCGCUCACCUCGCUGAACGAUGGACCCUUUCUUCCCUCACCCGGCGCACAUGAAACGCCCAACCCACGAAUCAUUUCUCUCAGCCCAACAGGCCGACGUGCCCCUCCACGCCCGCUUCAAGGCAGCGACUCGAAAAGCCGUGAGCGAUGACGUUCUCGAUUCUGACCCCCGACCAGAGAGUCGCCGCGGGAGGGCUGCUCGCCCUCGCCCUCCGCCAUGCGCAGCUCCUCCAAAUCCUCCCCUUCGGUUCCUCCUCCUUCUCCAUCUUUACCAGCGCCGACGACGGCCGAAGCAGCAGCAGCAGCACCACCGACAAGGAUGGCGAAUCCUCCCUCCCCCAUCAUCAUCGUCAUCAUCACAAGAUCCACAAGUCUGGCGGCCUCCUUCGUCCCGUUUUCGAGUUGCUGGAUAUUGAAUCUAUGGACUGGCCUGGACUGCGUGAAAUGGUAGCGCACAUGAAGGGCGAUGGCAAGGAAGGGGAUAGCCACUCCUCCCAGCUCUGGACCCAUGAAUCGCAUGGCCUUCUUCGUCCCGUUUUUCGGUUCUUGGAGAUUGAUUCCAAGGCCUGGCCCGUGUUGGAGAAAGCGGCUGUUUCUUCUCCAGCUAGGGAACAAGUUGUGAUGUUCCUGAAGACAAUUUUUGAUGACGAGGAAGCAUGCUCAGAAAGAUCAAAUCAAGAAUUUGCAUUGACAGAAGCAGUUGAUUAUAUGGUAAAGGAUUUGCAAACUUCUUCUGCCUCAGCUGAGGCAGUAAAGAAGCACAACAAGCACAAAGAUAAAUAUCAUGAAAGAAUCACUUCUGAUGUGAUGUGUAGAAUUUCUGAAGUGACAUGUAAGCCAUAUGAAAUCUUUGAAAUGACAAAGCUGGAGAGCUUAUUCAGUAGAGAGGAGGCACACAGUCAAUCUAACAAUGAGCAUGGUGAAAAAUCUUUCCUAGAGGACAUUUUAGUCAAACAUCAGCGGAAAGUGGUAGUUCUAUAUGAACUUCUUUCUGCCUGUGUGGCUGAUAUACCUCAAGAGUGUAAGAAACCUUCACAACACAGGAAAGGCUAUGAUGCCCGUCACCGUGUCGCUCUACAAUUGUUGGCAAAGUGGCUCAAUGUCGAGUGGAUAAAAAUGGAAGCUAUGGAGAUUAUGGUUGCUUGCUCUGCAAUGACUGCAGCAAAAGAAGUACAGUCAGAAGAAUGUGAAUCAACAGAUAACAGCUGGUCUGGAUGGAAACGUAGCGGCAUCAUUGGUGCAGCUGCACUUGCCGGAGGAACGUUGUUGGCCAUUUCUGGAGGUCUAGCUGCUCCAGCAAUUGCUUCAGGAUUUAGUGCUCUAUCUCCCACACUGGGAACCUUGGUCCCUGCUAUUGGAGCAAGUGGCUUUGCUGCAGCAGCGAGUGCUGCAGGAUCAGCUGCUGGCUCUAUAGCUGUUGCUGCAUCCUUUGGAGUUGCUGGAGCUGGACUUUCAGGUAGCAAAAUGGCUAGAAGAAUUGCAGACAUCGAAGAGUUCGAAUUCAUACCAAUGGGAGAAAACCAUAACCAGGGUCGUCUAGCAGUCGAUAUCUUUGUUUCUGGUUUUAUAUUCGAAGAGGAAGAUUUUAAAAGGCCCUGGGAAGAAAUUGAAGAUAACUUGGAAAGGUAUGCUCUUCAGUGGGAGUCAAAGCAUUUAAUUGCAGUGAGUACUGCAAUCCAAAAUUGGCUUACAACAAAAAUGACAACAGAAUUGGUGAAACAAGGUGCCAUGAUGACUGUCUUAAGCACACUUGUUUCUGCAUUAGCCUGGCCAACUACAUUACUUUCAGCUACUGAUUUCAUAGAUAGCAAAUGGUCGAUCGCGAUUGAUAGAUCAGAUAAAGCAGGAAAGCUUCUUGCUGAAGCAUUGUUGAAGGGGUUGCAGGGAAACAGGCCGGUGACCCUUGUUGGCUUUUCUCUAGGAGCACGAGUUAUCUUUAAAUGUUUAGAACAUUUGGCUAAAUCAGUAGAUAAUGAGGGACUUGUACAAAAGGUUGUUCUUCUUGGUGCGCCAAUUUCCCUCAAAGGCGAACAAUGGGAGAGUGCUAGAAAGACAGGUUAGUUGUGACUUGUGAGAUGUUUAGUGCUGAAGAGUCCAUUGAGAGAUUUAUGGGUAUGUUGCAAAAGCAGGGUCAGUAGGAGAAAAUCUUUCUCCACUUCUUUGAGGCCUAAUCAAGGAUUCUCAAAUCAUCUUGAAGUUUGGGCCUUCUAAAUGGGAUAACCAGGCCAUAUUGGGGGAAAUUGGGCCAAACCAACCAAUUCUAGCCAAUUUCAGAUGAUGUAACCCAAUUCGCCUAGGUUGAACUUGAACUGACCCCAUAUAAUCCUCCGUCUCGGCUUCUCAGCUGCCCUCAAUCCCAAUCCAAUCUCUCUUCUCUCCUCGCCUUUCUUUUUGAUCACCCUAGGCCACUGCUUCCUAUCACCCUCCCCUCCCCCUCUCCCUGAUCAACCAGCACCAUUGAUCUCCUGAGUCACCUCUCUCUUUUAUCUCCUUGCUGCCACUUUGGUCACCCUCAAUUGCUACCGCUGGUCGCCCUACCCCCUCUCCCUACUCAAUCCCAGCUCCCCACCCUCCUGUCUUCCACUCCAGGACCUCCAAAUCCUCAGGGUUAGAACUUGUCUAUCAGGAGCUGGAGGUCAUAGAUCGAGGUCUGAAACAUCCACCACCGCCAUCAGAUGGUUGCUGGGAGAUUUGUGAAUGUUUUCUCCACAAAUGACUGGAUACUUGGAAUUACUUUCCGUGCAAGCUUGAUGACCCAAGGUUUGGCAGGAAUUCAAGCCAUCAAUGUGCCUGGAAUUGAAAAUGUUGAUGUUACUGAUAUCAUUGAUGGCCACUCUUCAUAUCUUUGGGCUGCAAGCGAAAUCCUGCGAAAGUUUGAUGCUUGAUACCCUAUUUUCUAGUAUCCUGCCAAAAAUAAAUUCAGUUCUUAGCUCUUUGCAGCUUUUGUUGUUAAACGAAGAUGUGCCACUUCCUGACAUAAUUGCAUGUCCGGAUAUUUCUGGUGAAAGUCUUCUUUUUUUUUAUUCAAUGAAGUAAGGCCUUCCUGUUAACUAUAACUUCAGAAGAUGGUUGUAUGGCAAAAAAUUAUCUUGAAUGCUGAUAUUAUAAUAAAGGUUGACUCCUAAAAAUAUGAACAUCUGAAAAUAAAAUUAUGGAUGGCUCUUGUAAGCGUUAGUUACAUGUAAGAUGAUUAUCAAACGGAAAAAAUUGUGGUCUGCAAUUGUUGUGAUGAGGCCCA
Phoenix dactylifera (date palm) is the source of this 3284-nucleotide non-coding RNA. The record is from RefSeq and is a predicted model, not a curated record. NCBI's taxonomy places the organism in Eukaryota, Viridiplantae, Streptophyta, Magnoliopsida, Arecales, Arecaceae.